UCCAAACAGAUCCCUAUGGUUAAGGUUUUGUGGAGGAGUCAGUCAGUGGAAGAGUGCACCUGGGAGUCAGAGCGGGACAUGCGUAGCAAGUACCCUUACUUGUUCAAUGUAUAAUCAUGUAUCCUCAAUUCGCGGAAAUUCGACAGUUGUCCGGAUCUGUGAAUUUCCGGCCAGACAGACCAGCUACCGGAAAAGUCUCCGAAUUGGAUCGAGGUUUUGGCUACCCCACCAUUGUCAGGCAUCCCGAGCACGUUCCCGAAGUCGGAAUCGGCAAAGGUGAGCCGGGACAGCCUUCUUCCUCUGCCCAGCCGCCUCAGUGACCACCGUCAAGUCUGCCACAGGAGGAUAUUUUUUGAGGUUAACCUGCUUUCUCCCUCGCAGGUCAAUUAUUACUGUUUGUAUAAACUUGUUAAAUCUUAGAAUUUCCGUAUGUGUUAGAAAUGUUUAUUUGAUUUGGGUCUGUAAACUAAAUUAUUAUUUUGGGACCUGUAAACUUAAUAUGCUAUGCAUGUUUGAUGGAUUGGAUGAGGGAGCUGAGCUCCCAUUUAUUUUUAUGUUGAUGAGUAUGUGGAGGGUGAGCUGAGCUCCCCAAAUGACUAUAUAUUGUGUU
Long non-coding RNA from Hevea brasiliensis (rubber tree), 610 nucleotides. RefSeq lists it as uncharacterized. NCBI's taxonomy places the organism in Eukaryota, Viridiplantae, Streptophyta, Magnoliopsida, Malpighiales, Euphorbiaceae. The transcript is spliced from 4 exons. The record is from RefSeq and is a predicted model, not a curated record.